UAAUGUAUCGGAACGUGCCCAGUCGUGGGGGAUAACUGCUCGAAAGAGCAGCUAAUACCGCAUACGACCUGAGGGUGAAAGCGGGGGAUCGCAAGACCUCGCGCGAUUGGAGCGGCCGAUAUCAGAUUAGGUAGUUGGUGAGGUAAAGGCUCACCAAGCCGACGAUCUGUAGCUGGUCUGAGAGGACGACCAGCCACACUGGGGCUGAGACACGGCCCAG
This 220-nucleotide ribosomal RNA is filed under the name uncultured bacterium. RNAcentral describes it as "partial 16S ribosomal RNA". It matches the Rfam family "Bacterial small subunit ribosomal RNA", at positions 111 to 334 of the family's 1533-position model. The record is from RNAcentral.